CACGUAGGGUGCGAGCGUUGUCCGGAAUUAUUGGGCGUAAAGAGCUCGUAGGCGGUGUGUCGCGUCGGCCGUGAAAACCUGCAGCUUAACUGUGGGCUUGCGGUCGAUACGGGCAUCACUGGAGUUCGGCAGGGGAGACUGGAAUUCCCGGUGUAGCGGUGAAAUGCGCAGAUAUCGGGAGGAACACCAAUGGCGAAGGCAGCUUGCUGGGACGGUACUGACGCUGAGACGCGAAAGCGUGGGGAGCAAACAGG
RNAcentral lists this ribosomal RNA (254 nucleotides) under uncultured bacterium. Its description in RNAcentral is "partial 16S ribosomal RNA". It matches the Rfam family "Bacterial small subunit ribosomal RNA", at positions 524 to 776 of the family's 1533-position model. The record is from RNAcentral.